CCCUUAGAUGUUCUGGGCCGCACGCGUGCUACACUGAGUGGAUCAGCGGGUCAGGUUACGCGAGAGCGUUUCCUAAUCUUCAACUCCGCUCGUGAUGGGGAUUGACGGUUGCAAUUUUCCGUCAUGAACGAGGAAUACCUUGUAAGCGCGGGUCAUCAUCCCGCGCUGAAUACGUCCCUGCCCUUUGUACACACCGCCCGUCGCUCCUACCGAUUGAGUGGUCCGGUGAGGCUUUGGGAUCUAAGCGAAAAGAGCGUUUCGCUCCUUUUGCUGGGAGAACUCAGUCGAACCUUAUCAUUUAGAGGAAGGAGAAGUCGUAACA
Molecule: ribosomal RNA, 322 nt
Filed under: uncultured eukaryote
Lineage: Eukaryota
Description: partial 18S ribosomal RNA
Rfam family: Eukaryotic small subunit ribosomal RNA
Source: RNAcentral